CCCACGUUCCAAACAAGCGAACACAUUCCCCCUGGAGUGUCGGUCGCACGGCCCCAACUCAAAUGAAUUCCGGGUAACCCCACCAGCCGGGCAUUUGGUUUAAUUUAACCAACAUGAAGACCCUUACAUGGGCUUGAAAUGUAGAGGAAUUUGGUUGAAAUAUGGCGGCUAGCGAUGGGCUUUAUAUAGGUGCUGCAUGACUGUCGUCAGCUCGUGUCGUGAGAUGUUGGGUUAAUUCCGCAACGAGCGCAACCCUUAUCCCAGUUGUCCCAUUUAGUUGAGUACUCUGGGAAACCGCCUCGAUAACGGGGAGGAAGGUGGGGAGACGUCAAGUCCUCAUGGCCUUUAUGUCCAGGGCUACACACUGCUCAAUGGCCGGUCCAAAAAAUCGCGAACCCGUGAUGGGGAGCCAAUCGGAAAACGCCUUCUUCAAUUCGGAUGAAGUCUGCAACUGACUUCAUGAAGCUGAAUCGGUA
Molecule: ribosomal RNA, 476 nt
Filed under: bacterium
Lineage: Bacteria
Description: bacterial SSU rRNA
Rfam family: Bacterial small subunit ribosomal RNA
Source: RNAcentral